Molecule: ribosomal RNA, 253 nt
Filed under: uncultured bacterium
Lineage: Bacteria
Description: partial 16S ribosomal RNA
Rfam family: Bacterial small subunit ribosomal RNA
Source: RNAcentral
UACGUAGGGUGCGAGCGUUGUUCGGAAUUACUGGGCGUAAAGCGCUUGUAGGUGGCUCUGCAAGUCAGAUGUGAAAUCCCCGGGCUUAACCUGGGAACUGCAUUUGUGACUGGCGGGCUAGAGUAUGGCAGAGGGGGGUAGAAUUCCACGUGUAGCAGUGAAAUGCGUAGAGAUGUGGAGGAAUACCGAUGGCGAAGGCAGCCCCCUGGGCCAAUACUGACGCUCAUGCACGAAAGCGUGGGGAGCAAACAGG